UGGGGAAUAUUGGACAAUGGGCGAAAGCCUGAUCCAGCAAUGCCGCGUGAGUGAUGAAGGCCUUAGGGUUGUAAAGCUCUUUUACCAGGGAUGAUAAUGACAGUACCUGGAGAAUAAGCUCCGGCUAACUCCGUGCCAGCAGCCGCGGUAAUACGGAGGGAGCUAGCGUUGUUCGGAAUUACUGGGCGUAAAGCGCACGUAGGCGGCCAUUCAAGUCAGAGGUGAAAGCCCGGGGCUCAACCCCGGAACUGCCUUUGAAACUAGAUGGCUUGAAUCUUGGAGAGGCGAGUGGAAUUCCGAGUGUAGAGGUGAAAUUCGUAGAUAUUCGGAAGAACACCAGUGGCGAAGGCGACUCGCUGGACAAGUAUUGACGCUGAGGUGCGAAAGCGUGGGGAGCAAAACAGGAUUAGAUACCCUGGUAGUCCACGCCGUAAGCGAUGAUAACUAGCUGUCCGGGUUCAUGGAACUUGGGUGGCGCAGCUAACGCAUUAAGUUAUCCGCCUGGGGAGUACGGUCGCAAGAUUAAAACUCAAAUGAAUUGACGGGGUCAUAGCUGUUUCCU
RNAcentral lists this ribosomal RNA (562 nucleotides) under uncultured bacterium. RNAcentral's name for it is "partial 16S ribosomal RNA". It matches the Rfam family "Bacterial small subunit ribosomal RNA", at positions 355 to 1375 of the family's 1533-position model. The record is from RNAcentral.